RNAcentral lists this ribosomal RNA (280 nucleotides) under uncultured bacterium. RNAcentral's name for it is "partial 16S ribosomal RNA". It matches the Rfam family "Bacterial small subunit ribosomal RNA", at positions 506 to 784 of the family's 1533-position model. The record is from RNAcentral.
UGCCAGCCGCCGCGGUAAUACGUAGGGACCAAGCGUUGUCCGGAAUUAUUGGGCGUAAAGAGCUCGUAGGCGGUUCGGUAAGUCGGGUGUGAAAAUCCAGGGCUCAACCCUGGGACGCCACCCGAUACUGCUGUGACUAGAGUCCGGUAGAGGAGCGUGGAGUUCCUGGUGUAGCGGUGAAAUGCGCAGAUAUCAGGAGGAACACCAGCGGCGAAGGCGGCGCUCUGGGCCGGUACUGACGCUGAGGCGCGAAAGCUAGGGGAGCGAAUGGGAUUAGAUA